This 462-nucleotide ribosomal RNA is filed under the name uncultured bacterium. RNAcentral's name for it is "bacterial SSU rRNA". It matches the Rfam family "Bacterial small subunit ribosomal RNA", at positions 29 to 498 of the family's 1533-position model. The record is from RNAcentral.
AUUGAACGCUGGCGGCAUGCCUUACGCAUGCAAGUCGAACGGCAGCACGGGAGCAAUCCUGGUGGCGAGUGGCGAACGGGUGAGUAAUAUAUCGGAACGUGCCCAGUAGUGGGGGAUAGCCCGGCGAAAGCCGGAUUAAUACCGCAUACGACCUGAGGGUGAAAGCGGGGGAUCGCAAGACCUCGCGCUAUUGGAGCGGCCGAUAUCAGAUUAGCUAGUUGGUGGGGUAAAGGCCUACCAAGGCUACGAUCUGUAGUUGGUCUGAGAGGACGACCAGCCACACUGGGACUGAGACACGGCCCAGACUCCUACGGGAGGCAGCAGUGGGGAAUUUUGGGACAAUGGGCGCAAGCCUGAUCCAGCAAUGCCGCGUGCAGGAAGAAGGCCUUCGGGUUGGUAAACUAGCUUUUGUCUAGGGAAGAAAGUACUUCUGGGCUAAUACCCCGGGACGGAGUGACGGUA